Molecule: small RNA, 391 nt
Filed under: Oryza sativa Japonica Group (Japanese rice)
Lineage: Eukaryota; Viridiplantae; Streptophyta; Magnoliopsida; Poales; Poaceae
Description: sRNA Os02g0120700
Source: RNAcentral
GCUUGCAGCUAAGCUUAGCCCAUGGCGUACUUCUGCGUCCAGCCUCUUGCGGUGGAUUCGUAUCUGAGGCGAUCAGUCUUGCACAUAUGAGCGAUCUCCGGCACCAGCGGAUCGUCCGGGUUCGGGUCCGUCAGCAGCGAGCAGAUCGACAGAAGAACCUGCACCAAUUAUGAAGCUGGGCUCCACUGGUCCUUGAGGAUGUCAAGGCAGAUGUUGCCAUUGCUGUUUAUGUUUGGAUGGAACACCUUGUUAGCACAUACCUUUGGAGGCUUGAAAGGGUAGUCAGGAGGGAAGUGGAUGGUCACCAGGAACACUCCUCCAGAGUAGGGGCUGUCAUUGGGCCCCAUGAUUGUUGCUUGCCAGUGGAACAUGUCAUCAGACACAGGCCCUG